UUUCCGUAGGUGAACCUGCGGAAGGAUCAUUAAUGAGUUGUCAUGGGGUUCGAUGCUGGCAGCCAGUUUUUGGAUGCAUGUGCUUGCCCUAACAAUCAUCUUCUUCCAAACACCUGUGCACAUUUUUGAGGGAGUCUUGAGUUGGUUGCCGCUCUUGGGUGAUUUUCUCACAUUCCCUUAAAUCAUUAUACGCUAUUAACAAUGUUGAACGUGCUCUGUGCCGCAAGGCCAUUAAUAUAAUACAACUUUUAACAACGGAUCUCUUGGCUCUCGCGUCGAUGAAGAACGCAGC
This 292-nucleotide unclassified non-coding RNA is filed under the name plant metagenome. RNAcentral's name for it is "partial contains small subunit ribosomal RNA, internal transcribed spacer 1, and 5.8S ribosomal RNA". The stretch from base 244 to 292 matches the Rfam family "5.8S ribosomal RNA", at positions 1 to 49 of the family's 154-position model. The record is from RNAcentral.